Molecule: small nuclear RNA, 24 nt
Filed under: Arabidopsis thaliana (thale cress)
Lineage: Eukaryota; Viridiplantae; Streptophyta; Magnoliopsida; Brassicales; Brassicaceae
Description: snRNA_09866
Source: RNAcentral
AAAUAUAGACUUAGAGCAUUUCCA